CAUUAAAUGGCUGAAAUGUACGCAAUGGAAUUUUAAACCAUAUAAUAAUAGAUUAACGCCUAUUUUUAAUG
RNAcentral lists this transfer RNA (71 nucleotides) under Brachyta interrogationis. RNAcentral's name for it is "tRNA-Lys". The record is from RNAcentral. Lineage: Eukaryota; Metazoa; Arthropoda; Insecta; Coleoptera; Cerambycidae.